GUGGCGGACGGGUGAGUAACACGUGGGUAACCUGCCCUUAAGUGGGGGAUAACAUUUGGAAACAGAUGCUAAUACCGCAUAGAUCCAAGAACCGCAUGGUUCUUGGCUGAAAGAUGGCGUAAGCUAUCGCUUUUGGAUGGACCCGCGGCGUAUUAGCUAGUUGGUGAGGUAAUGGCUCACCAAGGCGAUGAUACGUAGCCGAACUGAGAGGUUGAUCGGCCACAUUGGGACUGAGACACGGCCCAAACUCCUACGGGAGGCAGCAGUAGGGAAUCUUCCACAAUGGACGCAAGUCUGAUGGAGCAACGCCGCGUGAGUGAAGAAGGCUUUCGGGUCGUAAAACUCUGUUGUUGGAGAAGAAUGGUCGGCAGAGUAACUGUUGUCGGCGUGACGGUAUCCAACCAGAAAGCCACGGCUAACUACGUGCCAGCAGCCGCGGUAAUACGUAGGU
Molecule: ribosomal RNA, 451 nt
Filed under: Lacticaseibacillus casei
Lineage: Bacteria; Bacillati; Bacillota; Bacilli; Lactobacillales; Lactobacillaceae
Description: bacterial SSU rRNA
Rfam family: Bacterial small subunit ribosomal RNA
Source: RNAcentral